Trifolium pratense (red clover) is the source of this 1209-nucleotide long non-coding RNA. RefSeq lists it as uncharacterized. The transcript is spliced from 6 exons. Lineage: Eukaryota; Viridiplantae; Streptophyta; Magnoliopsida; Fabales; Fabaceae. The record is from RefSeq and is a predicted model, not a curated record.
UCCACGAUCUUCAAAUCCCUAAUAUCUAAAGGAAACAAAAUCUGACAUCUUGGAAAUCGAAUUCCUUCAAACCCUUCCUGUUUAUCUUCCUCCAAUUGAACUCUGAGAAACGGUUCAUGUUCAUCUUCCUCCAAUCCAAUUCCUUGAACCCAACUGUUAACCCUAAUCUCCAAGAACCCAGAAAUCACUGUGAGCCCUAACCCAUAACCCAUAAAUCCUCUUCUCUCCACCAUAUACCAGCAAUUCAAUUUUUCGAAAGUCGUACUUGUUCAUCGUCGUGCCGUCACAACUCAAAUCGUGGUUAUUAAGGAUUCCCGAGUCGUCGUUUGGUGGCUCGUGGCAAGUUGCACAACACCGAAGGUGAUAUGGUGCAUGGCAUUAAAUUACCUAUUGGAUAUGUUAAAGUUGCUAUGGAUGUUUCUGUUAUAUCAGACGCUCCAUUGCCCAUAUCUAUCGAAUAUGGAGAAGUCUCGAUAGUUGGUCAAGCAAUAGGUACAAUUGUGCCAUGGCCAUUCAAACUUGUUGAACUUAUUGUUGAACGUCAAAAGAUCCCAAAAAAAAUCCAAAAUAAGGAUAAGGUACAAACCUCUGAAUCAGUUGUGUCGCCAACCAAAAACCGGAAAAUUUUGAAAAAUCAAGUGGCGUACCCUAAAAAUGGUGGUUCAACUGGUUUACAAAAAUUAAAAUUCCUUGAUGAUUAUAUGAAAUAUGCCUGGAAGUCUGAAACUGUGAUGGAAAUAAAUAUGGGCGAUGAUAUAUUCUCUGAGGGAUUUUCUGAACAUUUGCAUUUAGCGCACAUAAAAGAGGUUGUUGAUCACGACUAGUUAAGUGCCUUUGCUGUCAUCGUGUAUGCUAGGUAUCUCUAUGACAAGCUUAUUUGUCCUCGUGGAUUAACAUACAAGAUAUCAUUUUUAUCCCCACAUGUAUCAUUUGAUGAUCUUCAAGGAAAAGAUAUAGCAAGGCUAUUGAUGAAAACUAAGGUGUUGAAGGAUGAAAAGAUAAUUCUUGCACCUUAUAAUAUUGGGAUUCGUGGGUUUUGUUUGUCAUCAAUCCCAAUGCUGAGGUUAUAUAUUUUUUGGAUCCGCUCGGUGGCGAACCUUCAGAUCAUGGAAGUAUAAAAACAAAGUUUGAAAAUGCAAUUCAAAUCUACCAUGCCAGGUGUGAAAAUAAAAUCUCCUAGUCAAAGAAAAAUAAAAUCAAAUGGAAUAA